AAAUUGAAGAGUUUGAUCAUGGCUCAGAUUGAACGCUGGCGGCAGGCCUAACACAUGCAAGUCGAACGGUAACAGGAAGCAGCUUGCUGCUUCGCUGACGAGUGGCGGACGGGUGAGUAAUGUCUGGGAAACUGCCUGGUGGAGGGGGAUAACUACUGGAAACGGUGGCUAAUACCGCAUAACGUCG
This 187-nucleotide ribosomal RNA is filed under the name Salmonella bongori. RNAcentral's name for it is "partial 16S ribosomal RNA". It matches the Rfam family "Bacterial small subunit ribosomal RNA", at positions 1 to 181 of the family's 1533-position model. The record is from RNAcentral. Lineage: Bacteria; Pseudomonadati; Pseudomonadota; Gammaproteobacteria; Enterobacterales; Enterobacteriaceae.